This 399-nucleotide ribosomal RNA is filed under the name uncultured bacterium. RNAcentral describes it as "partial 16S ribosomal RNA". It matches the Rfam family "Bacterial small subunit ribosomal RNA", at positions 338 to 734 of the family's 1533-position model. The record is from RNAcentral.
CCUACGGGAGGCAGCAGUGAGGAAUAUUGGUCAAUGGGCGUAAGCCUGAACCAGCCAAGUCGCGUGAGGGAUGACGGCCCUACGGAUUGUAAACUUCUUUUAUAAGGGAAUAAAGUGCGGCACGUGUGCCGUUUUGUAUGUACUUUAUGAAUAAGGAUCGGCUAACUCCGUGCCAGCAGCCGCGGUAAUACGGAGGAUCCGAGCGUUAUCCGGAUUUAUUGGGUUUAAAGGGAGCGUAGAUGGGUUGUUAAGUCAGUUGUGAAAGUUUGCGGCUCAACCGUAAAAUUGCAAUUGAUACUGGCAGGCUUGAGUACAGUUGAGGCAGGCGGAAUGCGUGGUGUAGCGGUGAAAUGCUUAGAUAUCACGCAGAACCCCGAUUGCGAAGGCAGCUUACGAAGC